UCGUGAAGAAAUUCCAUCUUAUAGGUGGUUGAUGCAAUUGUCAUAGAUUAAAAACUGCAGACAAUUGUUCUAACUAUUCAAGUUUUUUGUCUAUGUACAAUGGGAUUUUGUGGUUGGUGAAGCGGAUGACGACGAAUUUGAUGAGAUGUCCGAUGUGUAUUGGGGGGAUGAUCAAGUUAUGGAGGAUGUAAAAAUGUGGUGUAAUGAUGACUUAAAUGAUGUGGACUUUGGAUAUGAUUGGCUGCCAUCUCCUUGAGAGUCUUUUAAUCAAAUCUGAUGGAAAUUUGCAUGAGCUUGCUGAAGUAUUAAGUUUAUGAAUGAAUUGUUUUGACAUACUGAAAGUUUCUCAACACCUGAUUGUUCAAAAGAUCCUACAAGAACCUGUCAUUGAAGAGUAUAUAGAGCUGAUAUUAGCGACUAAAUGUUUAUGAACAAGAGAGAUACAUUCAUAUUUUUUCAGUUAUUUAAAGAUGUCCUCUUCUGUACAUGUCAUGGUUCCUUCUUUUUUCUACAAUUGUAAUGUUGUAGAAGUGAGAUUGAUAUAUCUUUGAUAAUAAUGCUUAGUUCUUCUUAAUAAA
Molecule: long non-coding RNA, 578 nt
Organism: Solanum stenotomum
Lineage: Eukaryota; Viridiplantae; Streptophyta; Magnoliopsida; Solanales; Solanaceae
Exons: 3
Source: RefSeq, a predicted model, not a curated record